Molecule: long non-coding RNA, 235 nt
Filed under: Gallus gallus (chicken)
Lineage: Eukaryota; Metazoa; Chordata; Aves; Galliformes; Phasianidae
Source: RNAcentral
UAUCCAAUUUGCUUGCAUUUCUUUUAUACCAUACCAUUCUGGGAGGUCAGACAAAGCAUCAAACAUAGCCUUUGCAUACGCAGUAGUUUUGAUAAACCAUUGUUUGAGGUACUUCUGUUCCACUUUUGCUCCUGAACGCCAUGAGCAACCAUUGUCAUCCACCUGUUCAUUAGCUAGAACAGUUUGAUCUACUGGAUCCCAAUUGACCAAGGCCUCUUUUUGAUACACCAUCCCA